AGCGGAUGAGCCACCAGUGGCUGUGGUUCAGGGGGCGUGGCUUUGUCUUUUCCGCGGCGCCGGCGGCAAUCCCUGUGCUCAAAGGAUUCUGGGUACUGUGGUCCUGGUCCCUUGGAAAGCAGGGCAGUGAUGGGUGCUGGCCCACCCAGCCUUUGGCCCUGUGGCGGGACAGAGUGCCAGUGUCGAAUAAGCUUGGAAAGUGCACCUAGUCCUGAUGGAUGUAUAUACGGUACAGUGCUAUUAACAGGAACCCAGGUUGAGAUGCGGGGCAAGGACUUGCAUUUGUGGAGUGGCUUCAGGAUGAGGAGUCCAUGAAGAGGCUUCUUCCAUCUUGAAAAAAGGGGGCCAGUGGCUGCUCACUCAGAGUCAUUCCCUGGAAGUGUUGGUUCAUUGGAAGAUAUCCUGGAGGUCUCCAUGUUGCCAUGUUACCCAACCCUCUGCUCUUUGAUGCUGAUCAACAGUAACAGCAGAAUUCCCAAACUGUGAGAUGCUCUUACUAGGAUUAAAACCUCUCCACUUAUAAAGUAGUCAUGGAUGUCACACCCAGACUUAUUGUUGCAUCUGAAGAUUCUAUGAGGAGAAGACUCCCAUUUCAAGGUGAGAGCCUGCUUGGAGAAUUUAAUGAAGACUGGCUUCUUUCACUUAGCAAUAUUAACUUAAGCUUCAUCCAUUUUUUUGUUUGGCUUGCUGGCCUUAAAAAAAUUGCUAAAUAUGGAUGUACCAGUUUACUUAUCAUUUACCUAUUGAAGGACAUGUUGCUUACUUCUAGUUUUGGGUGAUUAACAAUAAAAGCUCGUAUCAACAA
Leopardus geoffroyi (Geoffroy's cat) is the source of this 805-nucleotide long non-coding RNA. RefSeq lists it as uncharacterized. Lineage: Eukaryota; Metazoa; Chordata; Mammalia; Carnivora; Felidae. The transcript has 4 exons. The record is from RefSeq and is a predicted model, not a curated record.